RNAcentral lists this ribosomal RNA (493 nucleotides) under uncultured bacterium. RNAcentral's name for it is "partial 16S ribosomal RNA". It matches the Rfam family "Bacterial small subunit ribosomal RNA", at positions 31 to 506 of the family's 1533-position model. The record is from RNAcentral.
GAACGCUGGCGGCGUGCCUAAUACAUGCAAGUCGAGCGAACGGACGAGAAGCUUGCUUCUCUGAUGUUAGCGGCGGACGGGGGAGUAACACGUGGAUAACCUACCUAUAAGACUGGGAUAACUUCGGGAAACCGGAGCUAAUACCGGAUAAUAUUUUGAACCGCAUGGUUCAAAAGUGAAAGACGGUCUUGCUGUCACUUAUAGAUGGAUCCGCGCUGCAUUAGCUAGUUGGUAAGGUAACGGCUUACCAAGGCAACGAUGCAUAGCCGACCUGAGAGGGUGAUCGGCCACACUGGAACUGAGACACGGUCCAGACUCCUACGGGAGGCAGCAGUAGGGAAUCUUCCGCAAUGGGCGAAAGCCUGACGGAGCAACGCCGCGUGAGUGAUGAAGGUCUUCGGAUCGUAAAACUCUGUUAUUAGGGAAGAACAUAUGUGUAAGUAACUGUGCACAUCUUGACGGUACCUAAUCAGAAAGCCACGGCUAACUACGU